GAAAUGCGAUAAGUAGUGUGAAUUGCAGAAUUCAGUGAAUCAUCGAAUCUUUGAACGCACAUUGCGCUUCCUGGUAUUCCGGGGAGCAUGCCCGUUUCAGAAUCAUUUAAAAUCUCAUCAACGUGGAUAGUUUCAACGGUAUCUGCGCUUGGUGGAUUUGGACCUUUGCCAAUGCAAUUGUCUCAAAUGCAUCGCCUGUGUAUCGAUUGCCAAAACUUUUGGGCUUUCGUUUGCUGAAGUGCAACAGAUUUUGUCUCUUCACUUUUUCAAGCGUUCGCAAUGAUCUAUACCCUGGUGCUUUCUUUGAAACAGCAAGCAGAUCAUCAUGACUUGCUUCUGAUAACUUGGUCUGAAAUCGGGCAAGAAAACCCGCUGAACUUAA
Molecule: unclassified non-coding RNA, 382 nt
Filed under: uncultured Chytridiomycota
Lineage: Eukaryota; Fungi; Chytridiomycota
Description: sequence contains ITS1
Rfam family: 5.8S ribosomal RNA (bases 1-105)
Source: RNAcentral